RNAcentral lists this non-coding RNA (95 nucleotides) under Hymenobacter roseosalivarius. RNAcentral describes it as "SAM-I sequence". It matches the Rfam family "SAM riboswitch aptamer (S box leader)". Rfam says of the family: The SAM riboswitch is found upstream of a number of genes which code for proteins involved in methionine or cysteine biosynthesis in Gram-positive bacteria. The SAM riboswitch acts at the level of transcription termination control. Lineage: Bacteria; Pseudomonadati; Bacteroidota; Cytophagia; Cytophagales; Hymenobacteraceae. The record is from RNAcentral. RNAcentral also lists the same sequence under 1 other name.
UUUUUAUACAGAGGCGUGGAGAGACAGGCUCGACGAAACGCCGGCAACCCCCCAGCUACCCGCUGGAACGGUGCCAAAUCCUGACUAUAUAAAAA